Molecule: ribosomal RNA, 484 nt
Filed under: uncultured bacterium
Lineage: Bacteria
Description: partial 16S ribosomal RNA
Rfam family: Bacterial small subunit ribosomal RNA
Source: RNAcentral
GACGAACGCUGGCGGCGUGCUUAACACAUGCAAGUCGAACGAUGAAGCUAGAGCUUGCUCUGGUGGAUUAGUGGCGAACGGGUGAGUAACACGUGAGUAACCUGCCCCGAACUCUGGGAUAACUGCUGGAAACGGUAGCUAAUACUGGAUACGACCAACGAAGGCAUCUUCUGUUGGUGGAAAGAAUUUCGGUUCGGGAUGGACUCGCGGCCUAUCAGCUUGUUGGUGAGGUAACGGCUCACCAAGGCGACGACGGGUAGCCGGCCUGAGAGGGUGAUCGGCCACACUGGGACUGAGACACGGCCCAGACUCAUACGGGAGGCAGCAGUGGGGAAUAUUGAACAAUGGGCGCAAGCCUGAUGCAGCAACGCCGCGUGGGGGACGACGGCCUUCGGGUUGUAAACCUCUUUUGGUAGGGAAGAAGCGAAAGUGACGGUACCUGCAGAAAAAGCACCGGCUAACUACGUGCCAGCCGCCGCCGUAA